CCCCCACGUGCUCGGGGGCCUUGGCUGUGUGAUCGCUGCGCUCCCGUCUGUGCUGCCCGGCUUCUCCCUUCCAGUGUCCAUUCUCCUUGAAAACACUAUUUCCGGGUAUUUAGCUCUGGGGAUUAUGGUUCUUUGGGGGCCCAAAAAGUAACUGGCUACUGUCACAAAAGCCGCUGGUUUCCUUUUUGGAGCAGUUGUGCCUUAAGCACCAUCUCACUGACACGGUGUUAGCCCAGGGGACUGGGCACCUGGUCACGUGCUGCGUGUUGUGGGGCCCAUCUGUCCAACAGUUGCCUCAUUCCUACCUGUGAGAGGUGAGGCAGAAGUGCUGAAUCAUUUACAAACCCUGAUGGUCUCUGAAUCCUUCCAUACCAUUACCAUUAAGUCAGGCCCAGGGCCAAGACACGGGAAUAGGCAAACAGAAGCGGGGUCCAAAAAUGGUUAUUUUUAUUCCAUUAUCUGAUUAUUAUUAUCAUUAUCUCUGGUAAAAGGGGGCCCAAUACUAAAAGUUAGCCCAAAGUCUAAGUACAGUGCUGGUUGGGGCAGCUUGCUACACUGCCUUUUGAGGCAUCAAGUCAAUGAGUGAUUAUUCCCUUUGGGACACUGCUGCAAUCACAAUUUCAUCUUGCAUCAUAAGAAGCAGAUGUGUUUUUUUCCCAGACUGUGGCACACGAAUGAGGUCAUGGUGGUGUCCCACUGCAGCUUCUCCCAGACACUUGCAUAUGUCAUGGACCCUGAUGUGGUUCUCCCCGAGCCCUGUGAACACACCUUGCUACUCGUCUUGAUACUGUUCUGCAGACAGAUGAAUGGAAGCUACAAAAGGCUAGUCAUUCUACCUUUCAAGCCAUAGAAACAUGCAGACUGCUGCUACCUAGCUCAUCGCAGUUAUAAACUGUUUUAAAGAGACACAUACCUCUUUCUCAGGCUGUAUCUACACCAGGUAGUUGUAUCAAUGUAACUAUAUCAAUCGUAUCAACCAUAUCAUUUUAGGGAUUGUUUGUGCACAUCAAUCUACCAGUUUAACUUCACUUUUGAUUAUGAUUUGCACUGUUGAAUUAAAGCAGUGUAAAAUGUGUGGAUAUUCUUUUAAGUCCGUUAUGAACAGACUGAAGCUAGACAAUGAUAAUCCAUUCUUACACCAAAAUAAAAGUGUCUACAAAAUGGUUUGCA
This 1170-nucleotide long non-coding RNA is filed under the name Crocodylus porosus (Australian saltwater crocodile). RNAcentral describes it as "lncRNA (ENSCPRG00005006527.1)". Lineage: Eukaryota; Metazoa; Chordata; Crocodylia; Crocodylidae. The record is from RNAcentral.